RNAcentral lists this ribosomal RNA (501 nucleotides) under uncultured bacterium. RNAcentral describes it as "bacterial SSU rRNA". It matches the Rfam family "Bacterial small subunit ribosomal RNA", at positions 28 to 526 of the family's 1533-position model. The record is from RNAcentral.
GAUGAACGCUGGCGGCGUGCCUAACACAUGCAAGUCGAACGAAGCUGUUUAACGGAAGCCUUCGGGUGGAAGUUGAAUAGACUGAGUGGCGGACGGGUGAGUAACGCGUGGGUAACCUGCCCUACACAGGGGGACAACAGCUGGAAACGGCUGCUAAUACCGCAUAAGCGCACAGUACCGCAUGGUACAGUGUGAAAAACUCCGGUGGUGUAGGAUGGACCCGCGUCCGAUUAGCUAGUUGGUGAGGUAAGAGCUCACCAAGGCGACGAUCGGUAGCCGGCCUGAGAGGGCGGACGGCCACAUUGGGACUGAGACACGGCCCAGACUCCUGCGGGAGGCAGCAGUGGGGGAUAUUGCACAAUGGGGGAAACCCUGAUGCAGCGACGCCGCGUGGGUGAAGACGGCCUUCGGGUUGUAAAGCCCUGUUGAGGGGGACGAUAAUGACGGUACCCCUUUAGAAAGCCACGGCUAACUACGUGCCAGCAGCCGCCGCAGUAACAC